GGAGGGCAAGUUUUUUUAAUCAGAAUACCGAAAGCAUAUUACAAAUGUUAAUAAUUUGAAUUACAACUUUAAGAAUUCAGGAACCAUGUUUUAGUUUUAUUGUGUGUUCAAUGUUUGACAACAUGUGUCAUUCCAAAAUAGCAAUAUAAUUAAGUUAAUCAUGCCGCAUACACCAUAUGGUAAUUGAUCAACUCAAUAGCUGCAAAC
RNAcentral lists this long non-coding RNA (207 nucleotides) under Mytilus galloprovincialis (Mediterranean mussel). The record is from RNAcentral. Lineage: Eukaryota; Metazoa; Mollusca; Bivalvia; Mytilida; Mytilidae.